RNAcentral lists this non-coding RNA (23 nucleotides) under Arabidopsis thaliana (thale cress). The record is from RNAcentral. Lineage: Eukaryota; Viridiplantae; Streptophyta; Magnoliopsida; Brassicales; Brassicaceae. RNAcentral also lists the same sequence under 1 other name.
GUGGUAGUAGCAAAUAUUCAAAU